UGGACGGAGAACUGAUAAGG
RNAcentral lists this non-coding RNA (20 nucleotides) under Drosophila ananassae. Lineage: Eukaryota; Metazoa; Arthropoda; Insecta; Diptera; Drosophilidae. The record is from RNAcentral. RNAcentral also lists the same sequence under 12 other names.